RNAcentral lists this ribosomal RNA (253 nucleotides) under uncultured bacterium. RNAcentral's name for it is "partial 16S ribosomal RNA". It matches the Rfam family "Bacterial small subunit ribosomal RNA", at positions 524 to 776 of the family's 1533-position model. The record is from RNAcentral.
UACGAAGGGGGCUAGCGUUGCUCGGAAUGACUGGGCGUAAAGGGCGCGUAGGCGGUUUGUACAGUCAGGUGUGAAAUUCCCGGGCUCAACCUGGGGGCGGCACUUGAGACGUAGGAACUGGAGUGAGGAAGAGGGUCGUGGAAUUCCCAGUGUAGAGGUGAAAUUCGUAGAUAUUCGGAAGAACACCAGUGGCGAAGGCGACUAACUGGACAUGUAUUGACGCUGAAGUACGAAAGCGUGGGGAGCAAACAGG